GACGAACGCUGGCGGCGCGCUUAACACAUGCAAAUCGAACGGAAAGGCCUGCUUUCCCUUGUGGAUUGCGGGUACUCGAGUGGCGAACGGGUGAGUAACACGUGAGUGAUCUGCCCCCAACUUGGGUAUAAGCCUGGGAAACUGGGUCUAAUUCCCGAUAGGACUGCAGGGUGGUGCCUGUGGUGGAAAACGAUUUUCUAGUGGUUGGGGAUGAGCUCGCGGCCUAUCAGCUUGUUGGUGGGGUAAUGGCCUACCAAGGCGGCGACGGGUAGCCGGCCUGAGAGGGUGGACGGCCACAUUGGGACUGAGAUACGGCCCAGACUCCUACGGGAGGCAGCAGUGGGGAAUAUUGCACAAUGGGCGGAAGCCUGAUGCAGCGACGCCGCGUGGGGGAUGACGGCCUUCGGGUUGUAAACUCCUUUCGACCGCGAGGAAGCCACCUGGUUGGAAGGGUGGUGACGGUAGUGGUAGAAGAAGCACCGGCUAACUACGUG
Molecule: ribosomal RNA, 494 nt
Filed under: uncultured bacterium
Lineage: Bacteria
Description: partial 16S ribosomal RNA
Rfam family: Bacterial small subunit ribosomal RNA
Source: RNAcentral